RNAcentral lists this non-coding RNA (26 nucleotides) under Bombyx mori (domestic silkworm). Lineage: Eukaryota; Metazoa; Arthropoda; Insecta; Lepidoptera; Bombycidae. The record is from RNAcentral.
AACUGUGUUAGAGUACGGGUGCGGCU